This 712-nucleotide long non-coding RNA is filed under the name Solanum lycopersicum (tomato). RNAcentral's name for it is "partial TCONS_00157876". The record is from RNAcentral. Lineage: Eukaryota; Viridiplantae; Streptophyta; Magnoliopsida; Solanales; Solanaceae.
CUCUGUUGGAUUCAAGAGAAGGGUAGGUCGGUAAUUUCCCCUUCUCCCGUUCUUCGUUCUUUUUCUCUGGGAUCUUAUAUCUUCCUCUUCGUUAUUCUGAAGAGCUCUUAUCACUUCCCUUUAUGUUCCAUGUAUAAAAGUCACGUUUGUUAUCCUGAAAGGUUUGUUUCCUCUAUGUUACAUGGAAAACAACAGAUUCAUUUUUUGCCAUAAUGCGAACACGAACGUUUCAUUCCAAUUCCCUAUAGAUUUGCUCCUCCAAACAAGAAGAAAACACAAGCGUAUGUUUUGUUUGAUCUCUUGGAAUGAAAUCAAAAACACAAUCCCCUUCAUAAGCUUGGAAUGAAAUCAAAAACAAGAAAACAGAAUACACUUGCUCCGUCACAAGAACAUUCAUGUUUGUUGCUUUGGCUCUAUAAAAGUACUGUGUAUGUUGGUCCUCUAUGCAUUUCUAAGGAUAAGAUAUAUGUACACCAACAUUUUUGGAGUGUUGAAAAAAGGAAGAUAUUUCUUUUUUAAUUGACUUUACUUUCAUUGGUUAAUUUCAAGUUGUAAUUUGAAUUUAAACUCGUAAAAUAAAAAUUGGUUAUUUAUUUACAAGCAAGAAUUGGUAUGAUCUCGGGCCCGUGCCUUGCACGGGCAUUCCACAUCUAGUCUAGUAUACAUACAAGUGAUAGUAUUACAUCUGGAUUGGGUUUAUCCCUCUAAGAAG